GCCAUUGUGGUUUCACACCUCGGGAUGGU
This 29-nucleotide small RNA is filed under the name Bombyx mori (domestic silkworm). Its description in RNAcentral is "ovarian small RNA-5312". The record is from RNAcentral. Lineage: Eukaryota; Metazoa; Arthropoda; Insecta; Lepidoptera; Bombycidae.